GGGAGCUUGCUCCUGGGUGACAAGCGGCGGACGGGUGAGUAAUGUCUGGGAAACUGCCUGAUGGAGGGGGAUAACUACUGGAAACGGUAGCUAAUACCGCAUAACGUCGCAAGACCAAAGAGGGGGACCUUCGGGCCUCUUGCCAUCACAUGUGCCCAGAUGGGAUUAGCUAGUAGGUGGGGUAACGGCUCACCUAGGCGACGAUCCCUAGCUGGUCUGAGAGGAUGACCAGCCACACUGGAACUGAGACACGGUCCAGACUCCUACGGGAGGCAGCAGUGGGGAAUAUUGCACAAUGGGCGCAAGCCUGAUGCACCCAUGCCGCGUGUAUGAAAAAAGCCUUCUGGUUGUAAAGUACUUUCACCGGGGAGGAAAGUGUUGAGGUUAAUAACC
This 393-nucleotide ribosomal RNA is filed under the name Enterobacter sp. RNAcentral's name for it is "bacterial SSU rRNA". It matches the Rfam family "Bacterial small subunit ribosomal RNA", at positions 74 to 468 of the family's 1533-position model. Lineage: Bacteria; Pseudomonadati; Pseudomonadota; Gammaproteobacteria; Enterobacterales; Enterobacteriaceae. The record is from RNAcentral.